This 492-nucleotide ribosomal RNA is filed under the name uncultured bacterium. RNAcentral's name for it is "partial 16S ribosomal RNA". It matches the Rfam family "Bacterial small subunit ribosomal RNA", at positions 29 to 507 of the family's 1533-position model. The record is from RNAcentral.
AGUGAACGCUGGCGGUAGGCCUAACACAUGCAAGUCGAACGGCAGCACAGUAAGAGCUUGCUCUUACGGGUGGCGAGUGGCGGACGGGUGAGGAAUACAUCGGCAUCUACUUUUUCGUGGGGGAUAACGUAGGGAAACUUACGCUAAUACCGCAUACGACCUACGGGUGAAAGCAGGGGAUCUUCGGACCUUGCGCGAUUGAAUGAGCCGAUGUCGGAUUAGCUAGUUGGCGGGGUAAAGGCCCACCAAGGCGACGAUCCGUAGCUGGUCUGAGAGGAUAAGCAGCCACACUGGAACUGAGACACGGUCCAGACUCCUACGGGAGGCAGCAGUGGGGAAUAUUGGACAAUGGGCGCAAGCCUGAUCCAGCCAUACCGCGUGGGUGAAGAAGGCCUUCGGGUUGUAAAGCCCUUUUGUUGGGAAAGAAAAGCAGCAGGUUAAUACCCCGCUGUUCUGACGGUACCCAAAGAAUAAGCACCGGCUAACUUCGUG